RNAcentral lists this ribosomal RNA (424 nucleotides) under uncultured prokaryote. Its description in RNAcentral is "bacterial SSU rRNA". It matches the Rfam family "Bacterial small subunit ribosomal RNA", at positions 355 to 796 of the family's 1533-position model. The record is from RNAcentral.
UGGGGAAUAUUGGACAAUGGGCGCAAGCCUGAUCCAGCCAUGCCGCGUGAGUGAUGAAGGCCCUAGGGUUGUAAAGCUCUUUCAGUGGGGAAGAUAAUGACGGUACCCACAGAAGAAGCCCCGGCUAACUUCGUGCCAGCAGCCGCGGUAAUACGAAGGGGGCUAGCGUUGUUCGGAAUUACUGGGCGUAAAGCGCGCGUAGGCGGAUUGGUCAGUUGGGGGUGAAAUCCCGGGGCUCAACCCCGGAACUGCCUUCAAUACUGCCAGUCUAGAGGUCGAGAGAGGUGAGUGGAAUUCCGAGUGUAGAGGUGAAAUUCGUAGAUAUUCGGAAGAACACCAGUGGCGAAGGCGACUCACUGGACUGGUAUUGACGCUGAGGUGCGAAAGCGUGGGGAGCAAACAGGAUUAGAUACCCCUGUAGUCC